RNAcentral lists this long non-coding RNA (552 nucleotides) under Olea europaea (common olive). Its description in RNAcentral is "long non-coding RNA (OEUR_LNC000980)". Lineage: Eukaryota; Viridiplantae; Streptophyta; Magnoliopsida; Lamiales; Oleaceae. The record is from RNAcentral.
UGAAACAAACUUCUAUGGUUGAGGAAUGAAAGGAGGGAAGGGAGGGAAGAAUCCAAAUUUAGGAUGUUGGAAAGGAGGAAGGUUGGGGAGUGGAGGGCAGGGUUUCUUAUAGAAUGGUGGGAGUGGUUUAUAAAUUGGAAUUGGAGGUGGAAGUGGCUUUACUAUUGGAGGAAUGUAAAUUGGUGGCUUUGGCUUGUAGAUUGGAAUUGGAGGUGGAAGUGGCUUUACUAUUGGAGGGAUGUAAAUUGGUGGCUUUGGCUUGUAGAUUGGAACUGGUGGUGGUAGUGGCUUUACUACCGGGGGUAUGUAAACCGGUGGCUUUGGCUUGUAGGUUGGAACUGGUGGUGGUAGUGGCUUUAUUAUCGGAGGUAUGUAAAUCGGUGGCUUUGGCUUUGGUUUGUAGAUAGGAACUGGUGGUGGAAGAGGCUUUACUACCGGAGGUUUGUAAACUGGUGGCUUUGGCUUUGGUUUGUAGAUUGGAACUGGUGGUGGAAGCGGCUUUACUGGAGGCUUUGGCUUGUAAAUAGGGACAGGUGGAGGAAGUGGCUUUGG